GGACUACUGGGGUAUCUAAUCCUGUUUGAUCCCCUUGCUUUCGCGCCUCAGCGUCAGGUAUACGCUAGAAAAUCGCCUUCGCCACUGGUGUUCUUCCACAUAUCUACGCAUUUCACCGCUACUUGUGGAAUUCCAUUUUCUCCGCCUAUCCUCUAGAAUGGGAGUUUCAUAUGCUGUUCCAGGGUUGAGCCCUGGGAUUUCACAUCUGACUUUCCUUCCCGCCUACGCGCCCUUUACGCCCAAUAAUUCCGAUUAAUGCUUGCACCCUCCGUAUUACCGCGGCUGCUGGCAC
This 292-nucleotide ribosomal RNA is filed under the name uncultured bacterium. RNAcentral's name for it is "partial 16S ribosomal RNA". The record is from RNAcentral.